GUCGUGGUCAGCUAUGGAGCAUGCGCACUGGGAGCGAUAUCCGGAAUGAAAUGGUUCUCCAUGAGAGCCACAAGCGAACAUUCAACAACUUGAAAACUGGAUUGAAAAUGAGAGACAGAGCAGCCACUGCAGAAGCUUCCAAAAUCACUCUGCAGCUCCUUGAACUGCUGCAAUCCACGUGGUGAAGUAGCUCCCAUGUUGCAAUUUGGUUGAUGACAUCCUUCGAAGAACAGGAGAUCUGAAGUGGACACAUUACUCCAGAAGAGGCCCCACUGAUGUUCUGCACAAUUUCAACAUAACGUCCCACCUCCGAUACUCAAAAGGUCUGAGCAGUGAAGGCAAGCUGGCCAAACACCGACUUAACCACCCUUUCGACAUGUGACGCCAACCUCAAAGAAUUAUGGGCCUGAACCCUGAGGUCUCUCUGUUCGACAACACUAAUCCCAAGGCCCUACAUUUAAUUGUACAAAUACUGAUCUUGUUUGUUUUACCAAAAUGAAAUACCUCGCCUCUAUCCAAAUUAAACACCACCUGCCAUUCCUCAGCCUCUUAACACUAUAAAUCAAGCUCUCUUUGUAAUCUUGGACAGCCUACUUCGCUGUCCACUAUCCUGCCUAUUUUGGUGUCAUCUGCAAACUUCCUAACCAUGUCUCCACGAUUCUCAUCUAAUUCACUUUUUUUUUAUAUCAAGCCAAACAAAAUUGGACUAAGCACUGACCCCUAUGGAACACCUUUGGGAACAGGCCUUCGGUCUGAUAAACAAUCCUCCACCAAGAGUUCCUGUGUCCUGUCAUUUAGCCAAAUUUAUAUCCAGUUGGCAAGUUCCCCCUGAAUCCCGUAUGAUCUAUCUUUUCUAAUUAGUCCACCUUGUGGAACCUUGUCAAAGGCCUUACUCUUGUCAAAAUAAAUUACGUCCACCACUCUGCCCUCAAUAAUCUUCUUUGUUACUUCUCCAAAAAACUCAAUCAACUAAUCAUUCCUUGACUCUCCAAAUACAUAAAUCCUACCUUUCACAAUUACCUUCAACUGCAUAACAAAAACCGAAGUCAGACUCACAGGUUUAUAGUUCCCAAGCUUCUCCUUAUGUCCCUUAAACGAAGGCACAAUUUAGCCACUCUCCAGUCAUCUGGCACCUCACCCGUAAUUAUAGAUGAUACAAAUAUUUCUGCAAAGGGGCCCCCAAGUUUUCUCUUCAACUUCCCACAACAUGGUUUGAUGCACUAGAGCAGGACCUGGAGGUUUAAAGUCACAGUGUAACACAGCAUGGAAACAGGCCCUUUGGCCUAAACUGGUCAGUGCUGACUAUUGGUGCCCACUCAGCAAGUUCUAAUUUCCUGCAUUUGGUCCAUGUCCCCCUCCAAACACUUUCCAUCCAUGUACCUACCCAAAUGUGUUUUAAACGUUGCUAUUGUCCCUGUCUCAAACACUUUCUCUGGCAGCCCAUUCCAAAUAUGCACCACUGUCUGUGUGAAGAAGCUGCUCCUCACAUCCUCCUUCAAUCUGCCCCCUCUCACCUUAAAUCUAUACACUCUAGUUUUCUAUUCCCCAUCCCUGGGAAAAAGACUAUGUGCAUUCAUCCUAUCUAUGCCCCUCAUGAUUUUAUUCACGUCAGUAAGGUCAGCCCUCAUUCUCCUCCAUUCCAAGGAAUAAAGUCCAAUCCUGGCCAACCUCCCCUGAGAACUUGCAUACUGUUCCUGGCAACAUCCUCGUAACUCUUCUUUGCACAUUUUCCAGUUUAA
Molecule: long non-coding RNA, 1739 nt
Organism: Stegostoma tigrinum
Lineage: Eukaryota; Metazoa; Chordata; Chondrichthyes; Orectolobiformes; Stegostomatidae
Exons: 3
Source: RefSeq, a predicted model, not a curated record